UGUGUGUGUGUGUGUGUGUGUGUGUGUGUGUGUGUGUGUGUGUGUGUGUGUGUGUGUGUGUGUGUGUGUGUGUGUGUGUGUGUGUGUGUGUGUGUGUGUGUGUGUGUGUGUGUGUGUGUGAGUUUGUAAAACCUACCAACCGGGGAAAAUCGUAUGAAUACACACCAACAAACCGGGGAACACCUUCCAACCGGGGAAUUCCCCGGUUGGUUUUAGGCGAAAAUCUCUAAUCUACGUGAAUGAAAUACCAAACUGUCAAUUUAAAUUAGAAAUCCAACGCCUUCCCCGAUUAGCGGGUUUGUGGCAUGCACAAAAUAUACACAAAUCUUCACCAUAUUACAAUCGAGUGUGUAUCCAGGCUUAUAACAGUUCCCCGGUUGCGCUGUUUAAAAAUCAUACACUCGGUAUUUAUAUCAUUUAGUGAAAGUCAGUUGGAAAAAUGGAGUUUCGAGCGAACAAACGCAUUAAACUAAGGCAACACAAUGACUACUAGAUCUACGGACAGCCAGGAACCAGGACAAACAACAUCCGUACACACGGGAGAAGUCGAUGAGACGAGUACCGAAACUAAAGAACAUAGCGACACUGCACACGAGUACAAUUCACAAGAUGCAGCAGAAAAUAUGUUGAAC
This is a long non-coding RNA of Dreissena polymorpha, 632 nucleotides long. RefSeq lists it as uncharacterized. The record is from RefSeq and is a predicted model, not a curated record. The transcript is spliced from 3 exons. Lineage: Eukaryota; Metazoa; Mollusca; Bivalvia; Myida; Dreissenidae.